Molecule: ribosomal RNA, 228 nt
Filed under: uncultured bacterium
Lineage: Bacteria
Description: partial 16S ribosomal RNA
Rfam family: Bacterial small subunit ribosomal RNA
Source: RNAcentral
UGCGCAGGCGGAACUUUAAGUCAGUGGUGAAAUCUUGCCGCUUAACGGUAAAAUUGCCAUUGAUACUGAAGUUCUUGAAUAUGGUUGAGGUAGGCGGAAUGUGUUGUGUAGCGGUGAAAUGCAUAGAUAUGACACAGAACGCCGAUUGCGAAGGCAGCUUACUAAGCCAUUAUUGACGCUGAGGCACGAAAGCGUGGGGAGCGAACAGGAUUAGAUACCCUGGUAGUC